This 813-nucleotide long non-coding RNA is filed under the name Sorghum bicolor (sorghum). RNAcentral's name for it is "long non-coding RNA (SBIC_LNC008615)". The record is from RNAcentral. Lineage: Eukaryota; Viridiplantae; Streptophyta; Magnoliopsida; Poales; Poaceae.
CUGUCGUGAAGAUCGGGCCACCCUCGUGCCGAUUGAUAUCUGUAGCCUAUCAACUGGUAUCAAAGCUUUCGUUGUCACGGUAGGUCUCACAAUCAUCCACAUAUCUACCUUUAGUUUAUCUAUCGUUUGCUACUGUUUUGUUCAACACCUAUAGUCCACUGAAAAGCCACAAAAAAAUCCUAUAGACCUUUAUCGGUACUGUUAUCUUAUGUUUUUAUGUUCAUCAAGUUGCUAGUCACCAUCUUUACAUAUUUUGUAUCAUGUUUUCAUUUGUUAUCCGCACUCCUGUUAGUUAAAAAAAGAGUUAAAAAAUGUUAGAGAAAAAAAUUCAGAGAAAAGAAAAGAGAAAGAACAGAAAAAGUAGAAGAAGAGGAAAGGGGUUGUAUUGCGGUUUGCUCACUGAGAAAUUUAGUUUACAUAUUCAGAUUCUUGGUGAUCUAUAUACCAGCAACAUUAUACCUUUCGAGCACAUCAAACCACUUGAUUUUCAGUACUGUAGCCUCCCUUGUUUAGCCACCUAUAGCUCCACCCAAAACUAAAAUCAGGACAGUCGACUCGUAAUCCUUGCGACCUCGGAAUCACUUCUGUUGAGCUGCUACACUAGCACAAUUCACGGUCCUUGAGAAUAGGAAAGAGCAUUGGUAAGUAAGAGGUGAGGUUGUGUAAUUACAUAAAUUUAUCCAUUCCACUAUAUUUUGCUUUAGUGCUAACAUGACAGGAUCCAACUCAAGUAUUCAUGGUGAUCGUCAUGGAGAAGAAGAACCCCCUGUUGCACGGGCUGAGUUGCGCCAAAUGGCAGACUCACUCUUGCAG